CAUGAGUUGCAAAACUCCCAACCAUUGUGAACCGAACCUAUCAGUUGCCUUCGGCGGCGAGGCCCCCUCUCCCCCCGUCGGGGGAGGCAGCCCGCCGGAGGCAUCCAAACUAUAGCAUAUUGUCCUCUCUGAUUACUUAUAUAAUAAGUCA
This 151-nucleotide unclassified non-coding RNA is filed under the name soil metagenome. RNAcentral's name for it is "partial internal transcribed spacer 1". The record is from RNAcentral.